UACCUUUGUAGAGUUGUACCUGGAGGUUCUCCAUGUUACUAUCAAAAACUUUCAUAAGCUGCAAACAACUAGAAGAUGGGAUUGUGCUUCAUUGAGGGAUUUAAUGCCUGAAUAGUCUGUAAUAGAAAGUUGAUAGAGCAGUCCUGUGCCUCAUUAAUGGCUUUCUUUCUGACAAGAAGCAGCCAUUCUACGGGCUACUCGAACCUGGA
Molecule: long non-coding RNA, 209 nt
Filed under: Actinidia chinensis (golden kiwifruit)
Lineage: Eukaryota; Viridiplantae; Streptophyta; Magnoliopsida; Ericales; Actinidiaceae
Description: long non-coding RNA (ACHI_LNC004055)
Source: RNAcentral